UCCGUAGGUGAACCUGCGGAGGGAUCAUUACACAAUUUAAAAUAUGAAGGCUUCGGGCUGGAUUAUUUUUUCUCACCCUUGUCUUUUGCGCACUUGUUGUUUCCUGGGCGGGUUCGCCCGCCACCAGGACCACACCAUAAACCUUUUUUAUGCAGUUGCAAUCAGCGUCAGUAUAACAAAUGUAAAUCAUUUACAACUUUCAACAACGGAUCUCUUGGUUCUGGCAUCGAUGAAGAACGCAGCGAAAUGCGAUACGUAGUGUGAAUUGCAGAAUUCAGUGAAUCAUCGAAUCUUUGAACGCACAUUGCGCCCUUUGGUAUUCCAAAGGGCAUGCCUGUUCGAGCGUCAUUUGUACCCUCAAGCUUUGCUUGGUGUUGGGCGUCUUUUGUCUUUGGCUUCGCCCAAAGACUCGCCUUAAAACGAUUGGCAGCCGGCCUACUGGUUUCGCAGCGCAGCACAUUUUUGCGCUUGCAAUCAGCAAAAGAGGACGGCACUCCAUCAAGACUACAUUUUUACGUUGACCUCGGAUCAG
RNAcentral lists this ribosomal RNA (532 nucleotides) under Curvularia lunata. RNAcentral's name for it is "eukaryotic LSU rRNA". The stretch from base 195 to 348 matches the Rfam family "5.8S ribosomal RNA". Lineage: Eukaryota; Fungi; Ascomycota; Dothideomycetes; Pleosporales; Pleosporaceae. The record is from RNAcentral.